CAAUUGUGCCUUGCGAGGAUGAUGCUCCAGCAGCCUCUAUGUGCUUUCCGCCAAGCCAAAGCUUGGAACCUACAACUACGAAAAAGAGAAAACAUGAUAACUCAAUUACUGGAGCAUCAAAAAGCCAAAUGUUGGAGAAAACAA
This is a long non-coding RNA of Triticum dicoccoides, 144 nucleotides long. RefSeq lists it as uncharacterized. Lineage: Eukaryota; Viridiplantae; Streptophyta; Magnoliopsida; Poales; Poaceae. The record is from RefSeq and is a predicted model, not a curated record. The transcript is spliced from 3 exons.